UUUAUCUGGAAUCAAGUAUACAUAUACAAGGAAGAGAAAAAAUGAAGUCUUAUUGCUUAGAGGAGGUAGUAAAAUGAGGGCAAAACGUGCCAAACCUUGCUCCUAGAUUUCAGUUGAAAGGAUCCUUCCUCUGUAUAUUUCCCUUUUCCUAGAUCGUGGCACAACAGACAUAUGUAAGAUUUAGAAUUCUGAAUGAGACGGAUGUGAAAAUAUGAAGAAAACAGAAAGAAGAAGAAAGUACCUAAAGAUUUAGAAAAGGAAAACAAUGUGUAUUGCUGAAAGAUAAACUCUCAGACUGUAUUGAACUACUGCAAUCUGGGCAAUUGGAUAUAAUCUUCCAAUGGUUCACUGAAUAACGGAGAAAACUCCAAUCUUUGUGACAGAAUCUGUAUCUAA
This 396-nucleotide long non-coding RNA is filed under the name Parus major (Great Tit). Its description in RNAcentral is "lncRNA (ENSPMJG00000005323.1)". Lineage: Eukaryota; Metazoa; Chordata; Aves; Passeriformes; Paridae. The record is from RNAcentral.